UUUUUUUUUAAAAAAAAAAGAUUAUCUAAAGCUGAAGAACUCCCCCCCUUAAACUAUACCUAUCAAAUAUUUACAAGUUAUUUUCUGUAUUUGAUUUUAAAAAAAAUAAUUAAUUACCAAUAAUUAAUUGAAUGUUUUCUUUUUUUUAAAAUUAAUUCAUAUAUUGUUAGAUACAAUAAAUAAUUGUUUAAAGCAUCAACCUGAUCAGAGAAUGCACAAGGGAGAUAUAGAGUU
Biomphalaria pfeifferi is the source of this 234-nucleotide non-coding RNA. The record is from the annotation of a GenBank genome assembly. Lineage: Eukaryota; Metazoa; Mollusca; Gastropoda; Planorbidae.